RNAcentral lists this long non-coding RNA (218 nucleotides) under Fukomys damarensis (Damara mole-rat). Its description in RNAcentral is "lncRNA (ENSFDAG00000027520.1)". Lineage: Eukaryota; Metazoa; Chordata; Mammalia; Rodentia; Bathyergidae. The record is from RNAcentral.
GUUAAGACAAGAAAAGGAUUUCCAGCAUCACAGCAAUAUAGCAAUUGCUAAGUGUUGUUCUCAAGAUACUUGACGACAUUUUUUGAUGAGAGACAAAAGUUGGAAGGAUUGCUACAUUUUAAACUUUGACUGCCAAUACAACAGUAAUAACCUUCAGUUCUUCAACAGAGUACAGAAAGAGCAAUAUAAUCACAAUUCAAGAAUCUGUAAUAUACAAG